AGCAGCCGCGGUAAUUCCAGCUCCAAUAGCGUAUAUUAAAGUUGUUGCAGUUAAAAAGCUCGUAGUUGAAUUUCGGGAUCAGUUGGUCGGUCGUGCCUCGGUACGUACUGGUCAAAUUGAUUCCUACCUUCUGACGAACCACGAUGUCAUUAAUUUGGUGUCGUGGGAAAUCAGGACUGUUACUUUGAAAAAUUAGAGUGUUUAAAGCAGGCUCGCGCUUGAAUACAUUAGCAUGGAAUAAUGAAAUAGGACGUUUGAUUCUAUUUUGUUGGUUUCUAGGAUCGACGUAAUGAUUAAUAGGGAUAGUUGGGGGCAUUAGUAUUCAAUUGUCAGAGGUGAAAUUCUUGGAUUUAUU
Molecule: ribosomal RNA, 355 nt
Filed under: uncultured Glomeromycotina
Lineage: Eukaryota; Fungi; Glomeromycota
Description: SSU rRNA
Rfam family: Eukaryotic small subunit ribosomal RNA
Source: RNAcentral